This 2527-nucleotide long non-coding RNA is filed under the name Triticum aestivum (bread wheat). Its description in RNAcentral is "long non-coding RNA (TAES_LNC019855)". The record is from RNAcentral. Lineage: Eukaryota; Viridiplantae; Streptophyta; Magnoliopsida; Poales; Poaceae.
GCCAGGCAGGCCCCAUCUCCACGCGGCCCCACCUGUCGGCGGGCAGGCGUUGACCCCGCCUGCCUAGCUGGAUAAGUGAGGGGCCCCACAGCCCGUGGGACCCGCACGUCAGCGACCCCACGCCCGGCCCCGCCACUGUCCACGUGGAUAAGUGGAAGCGUACUUCGCAGAAGUACGUUUUCGCCUUCAGAAAGCGUAUUUCUCUUCUGCUCCAGUCGUAAGUGCGCUUUCAUAGUUUGAAAACUAUUUUCUUCUUAGGCGCCUUCUGUUUUCUCACUCAGGGGCCUGUUUGUAGAGAUUCUUUUACAAAUCGGUCCCUGAACUUCGUCGGGCUAUAUCUUUUUACUCCCAACUCCAAAUGAGGUGAUUCCAAAGCCCAUUUCUUUGUCUCGUCGAGCCCGUUCUGUUGGUUUCAUUUUCACUAUGGUUUGACACUGUGAAAAUGACCAUUUUUUCCCUUGCCCGUAAACAGCCCCUCCGAGAGAGAACUGUUUCCGGCAAAUCUUUCCGCGAGCUUCUCGCGCUUCUUCCCUGUGUUUUCUUCAUCCCCAGGCAAGCCACAAUACCCACUUGCAUGAUAGUCAUGCAGUAGCCAUGGUUUUCAACUUGAAUAUUUAUUAAAUGAUUGGUUGUUUAAAAUAUGGUUAUCGUUGUUUUGGUAAUGCUUCUGGGUUAGUGCUUACUUGCUUGAUAUGUUGUUAUGCACCUGGUUAUCAUGCCCUGCUAGUUGCUAGUAUUACUUUCAUAUUUCCAUGCUUGAUAGUAGUACAUGUUGGGUUGGUCAUGUUCUUCGGUGCAUGAUUAACGUCGGUUAUCGAGUACUGUUAAUAUGCGUUCUUCCUUUGCUGUUAGUUGGUUAAGUGUUACUCGGUAAUGUUAUUGAUGAGUUCUUGCAUGGUAUUUAUGGUUGAUGCUAGUGGUCAUGUUUUACUAUGAGUAGUGUUGCACUUGUAAUAGUUAUGCUCGUCAUUAUGCCAUGUUCAGUUGGAGAUUAUUCAUAGUUGAUAUGGUGGAUCGUUAUGUUGUACCCUCAUGCUUAUGUUGAUCUCAUGCUCAUGCUUUGUAUAUGCAUCAUGUUAUUUUAUCAUGGCUCAGCAUAUUGCAUUCAAGUUUAACCAGAUUAAAUUCAACUUGAACAACUGUUGGCUGAGUCAUGGUGCCACCAUAUCGAAACUGACCAGUGCAACCACGCUUACCUUAUGGGAAGGUCCUAACUGGGUCUAUUGUCGUGCCUCUCGCCGGUGCCUCUAACGAGGGAAGGUUAUGGGCGCGCGCUACCCUGAUCAGGUAGGCGGACAUAACCUUGUGUGCCCGUUGUUGUUAUUAUGGAUCCGGUCCCCGUGAGGGACGUUUUGGCCACGACAGUGGUCGUUGUGUCUUUGGUAGAUACGGGGCCACCCAGGACUAGCCCAGUUGGGAGUGGGUCGGAGUGGCCGGGAGAGUGUCAUGGCAAUAGAUCGGUUUUGUCGGAACGCCGUUGGUCCACCCGAAUGGGAGUGCGAGGCCAGGGGUUCCGUGGUGUGGGUACAGUGUACUAACCUCUGCAGAGUGUAUAUUAAAUCUAUCGAUAGCCGCGCCCGCGGAUAAGGGCCCAGUUCGUGUCGGUCACACCGUGAGUCAACAGUAUUAAUAAUAACUUGAUUAAUGACAACCCCGGUUUGAUGAUGAGAUAACUUGGUUGUGAUCGCCGGAAAGAUCACCGUUUGAUACCAAGUGUUGGUCAUGGUUGUGAUCGCCGAAAUGAUCACCGUGGUAUCGAGGAUACCGAGUUGUUGGAUAUUCGUGAUGUUGUGCGAGAAUCAUGGGUAAAGAUCAAGCUCCUUGUGGUCAUUUAAUGAUUACUACGGUAUUGUUUAUACCAAGCUUGAUUUGAUCCUGAGAUGAUCGUGUGAUGUCCGAGGUUGGUAAGUGAUGCAUGUGAUGGUUACGUAGUAACCCGAGCAGAAUAAAUAGUGCAUAUAAUGUCUUCAUGUUGCAUGCUAGUAUUGUCGAAUUCAUAUGUUCAUGCUAUGCUCAUGUUGUUCUAGCUGUAUCAUGUUCAUGUUGCGCAAGUCAUGUUGUUAUGAGGAUCUCAUGUUAAUUCCUGCUUAACAUGUAAAUGCCAUGCUGAUGUUUGUCUUGAAUGCUUCUGGUUGAUGUGAGCUUGCAAGUACAUUCAAUGUACUGACCUGGCGUGUCAUGCCAGCUUGCAGGUCGUGCCUAGAUUGCUUGCUUGUUUGGUGUUGUUCCUGUGUUCACGAGCUAGGAUAAGCUUUCCAGUCAGAGUCCCUGUGGAGUGGAGUUCACCACCGUCGUCGUUGUUCCGCUGCCAGUAGUUGUUCCGCUGCCUCAAGUUGCUAUGCUGCUUGCAUAGAGCAACUGAGGAUGGCGUAGUGUCGCCGUGCCGAUGUUAUUCAUUGUAAUAUCGGAGACCUUGUAUUCAUAUCCGUGUAUUAAUAGAAAUCUGGUUUGUUCUAUGCUAAGCAGUGCCGUAUUCCAGAAGACUUCACCUCGAUCUCUAGGCUGGAAUACGGGGCGUUGCGGUUUU